UUAGGGGNGCCAGCAGUAGGCAGGUAAAAGGGAUCGGCAUGGCCUUCGCGUCCGGGGUGCGGGGGGUUUAAAGAGGGCCGCGCAAGAGCGGUGCCAGCCGCGGGGGUCAUACCGGCAGCCCGAGUGAUGGCCGUUUUUAUUGGGCUUAAAGCGUCUGAAGCUGUCCGCGCAGGUCCACCGGAAAAUCCACCCGCGCAACGGGGGGGCGCCCGGGGGAAACUGCUUGGUUGGGGACCGGAAGCCGCGAGGGGUCCGUCCGGGGUAGGAGUGAAAUCCCGUAAUCCCGAACGGACCGCGGAGGGCGAAAGCCCGUCGGAAAAACGGAUCCGACAGUGAGGACCGAAAGCCAGGGUUUCAAACCGGAUUAAAUACCGGGGUAGUCCUGGCCGAAAACAAUGCCGGCUAGGUGGGGCUCCCGCUACGAGGGGGGGCUGUGCCGCAGCUAAGCCGCUAAGCAAACCGCCUGGAAAGUACGCCCCCAAGAUAAAACUUAAAGGAAUUGGCGGGGAACCCAGAG
RNAcentral lists this ribosomal RNA (517 nucleotides) under uncultured archaeon. RNAcentral's name for it is "partial 16S ribosomal RNA". It matches the Rfam family "Archaeal small subunit ribosomal RNA", at positions 370 to 882 of the family's 1478-position model. The record is from RNAcentral.